ACUCCUGCGGGAGGCAGCAGUGGGGAAUAUUGGACACUGGGCGCAAGCCUGAUCCAGCCAUGCCGCGUGAGUGAUGAAGGCCCUAGGGUUGUAAAGCUCUUUCACCGGUGAAGAUAAUGACGGUAACCGGAGAAGAAGCCCCGGCUAACUUCGUGCCAGCAGCCGCGGUAAUACGAAGGGGGCUAGCGUUGUUCGGAUUUACUGGGCGUAAAGCGCACGUAGGCGGACUAUUAAGUCAGGGGUGAAAUCCCGGGGCUCAACCCCGGAACUGCCUUUGAUACUGGUAGUCUUGAGUUCGAGAGAGGUGAGUGGAAUUCCGAGUGUAGAGGUGAAAUUCGUAGAUAUUCGGAGGAACACCAGUGGCGAAGGCGGCUCACUGGCUCGAUACUGACGCUGAGGUGCGAAAGCGUGGGGAGCAAACAGGAUUAGAUACCCUUGUAGUCCC
RNAcentral lists this ribosomal RNA (445 nucleotides) under uncultured organism. RNAcentral's name for it is "partial 16S ribosomal RNA". It matches the Rfam family "Bacterial small subunit ribosomal RNA", at positions 335 to 797 of the family's 1533-position model. The record is from RNAcentral.